RNAcentral lists this ribosomal RNA (303 nucleotides) under Triticum aestivum (bread wheat). Its description in RNAcentral is "partial small subunit ribosomal RNA". Lineage: Eukaryota; Viridiplantae; Streptophyta; Magnoliopsida; Poales; Poaceae. The record is from RNAcentral.
AUGUCUUCCUCCAGUGCCGUCCAGUCGAACCUAAGUGGUCAGAUCACGGAGAAGCUCUCCCGGACGAACUAUGUCAUGUGGCGAACCCAGAUCACGCCGCAGCUAAGGGGAGCCGGGCUCUUCGGCUACGUCGAUGGCACCAUGCCAGAACCGACGCGCCUCCUCGUCUCCAAGGACAAGGAUGGGAAGGAAUCUUCCGAGCCCAACCCUCUCCACCCCAUCUGGGUCAAGGAGGACCAGCAGGUGCUGGGCUACCUGCUCAACAACCUCACCAAAGAGGUGCUGAUAAUGGUGACUGCGGUC